Molecule: ribosomal RNA, 467 nt
Filed under: uncultured bacterium
Lineage: Bacteria
Description: partial 16S ribosomal RNA
Rfam family: Bacterial small subunit ribosomal RNA
Source: RNAcentral
GACGAACGCUGGCGGCGUGCUUAACACAUGCAAGUCGAACGGAAAGGCCCUGCUUUUGUGGGGUGCUCGAGUGGCGAACGGGUGAGUAACACGUGAGUAACCUGCCCUUGACUUUGGGAUAACUUCAGGAAACUGGGGCUAAUACCGGAUAGGAGCUCCUGCUGCAUGGUGGGGGUUGGAAAGUUUCGGCGGUUGGGGAUGGACUCGCGGCUUAUCAGCUUGUUGGUGGGGUAGUGGCUUACCAAGGCUUUGACGGGUAGCCGGCCUGAGAGGGUGACCGGCCACAUUGGGACUGAGAUACGGCCCAGACUUCUACGGGAGGCAGCAGUGGGGAAUAUUGCACAAUGGGCGGAAGCCUGAUGCAGCAACGCCGCGUGCGGGAUGACGGCCUUCGGGUUGUAAACCGCUUUCGCCUGUGACGAAGCGUGAGUGACGGUAAUGGGUAAAGAAGCACCGGCUAACUACGU